RNAcentral lists this ribosomal RNA (2656 nucleotides) under Sphingobacteriales bacterium. Its description in RNAcentral is "23S ribosomal RNA". It matches the Rfam family "Bacterial large subunit ribosomal RNA". The record is from RNAcentral. Lineage: Bacteria; Pseudomonadati; Bacteroidota; Sphingobacteriia; Sphingobacteriales.
UUUAAAGCAAUUAAGGGCGUAUGGUGGAUGCCUAGGGUCUGAGAGGCGAUGAAGGACGUGGUAAGCUGCGAUAAGCUUCGGGGAGCUGCACACAAGCGUAACAUCCGAAGAUUUCCGAAUGGGACAACCUAAUAUAUUGAAGAUAUAUUACCCCCACAGCAAUGUGAGGGAGCCAACCCGCUGAACUGAAACAUCUAAGUAGGCGGAGGAAAAUAAAAUAACAAUGAUUCCCUGAGUAGUGGCGAGCGAAACGGGAAGAGCCCAAACCAUGGCGGCGUGCUGCCGUGGGGUUGUAGGACUGCAUUUAGAAACUGUUAUCAAGCUGAAUUUUCUGGAAAGUUAAAUCAAAGAGGGUGAUAAUCCCGUAAGCAGAAAUUAACAGGGACGAGCAGUAUCCUGAGUAAGGCGGGACCGGAGAAAUCCUGCCUGAAUCUGCCGGCACCAUCCGGUAAGGCUAAAUACUCCUCAGACACCGAUAGUGAACCAGUACCGUAAGGGAAAGGUGAAAAGUACCCUAAACAAGGGAGUGAAAUAGUACCUGAAACCGUACGCCUACAAGCGGUCGGAGUCUCCACAGCAAUGUGAGGGAUGACGGCGUGCCUUUUGCAUAAUGAGCCUACGAGUUACUCCUCACUGGCGAGGUUAAGUUCUUAAGUAACGGAGCCGUAGCGAAAGCGAGUCCAAAUAGGGCGUUUAGUCAGUGGGGGUAGACGCGAAACUUUGUGAUCUAUCCAUGGGCAGGUUGAAGGUGUGGUAACACACACUGGAGGACCGAACCCGUUGACGUUGAAAAGUCUUGGGAUGACCUGUGGAUAGGGGUGAAAGGCCAAUCAAACUGAGAGAUAGCUCGUUCUCCCCGAAAUGUUUUUAGGAACAGCCUCGGAUGCCUACCAAACCCUGACAAACUCCGAAUGCUAGUACAUAUCUCCGGGAGUGAGGCUGUGGGCGAUAAGGUCCAUGGCCGAGAGGGAAAUAACCCAGAUUAGCAACUAAGGUCCCUAAUACAUGGUUAAGUUGAUCAAACGAGGUGGAGUUUCUAUAACAGCCAGGAUGUUGGCUUGGAAGCAGCCACUCAUUUAAAGAGUGCGUAACAGCUCACUGGUCGAGAGACUCUGCACGGAAAAUAAUCGGGCAUCAAACCAUGAACCGAAGUUCUAAAUUGUACAUUUUAUGUACAGUGGUAGGGGAGCAUUGAAAUCUGCAGCGAAGGUGUGUGGUGAUGCAUGCUGGAGCGAUUUCAAAAGAAAAUGUAGGCAUAAGUAACGAUAAAAAAGGUGAAAAACCUUUUCGCCGUAAACCCAAGGUUUCCUGAUCAAUGUUAAUCAGAUCAGGGUUAGUCGGGUCCUUAGGCGAACCCGAAAGGGGUAGCUGAUGGCAAGUUGGUUAAUAUUCCAACACCUGCUUUAAAUUCGAUGGAGUGACGGGGUAGUGAAAGAUCCGCCUGGUGAUGGAAUACCAGGUUAAAGGGUGUAGUUAUAUUUUUUACAGGCAAAUCCGUAAGAAAUGGCGAACCUGAUAGUACAGCAAAGCUUCGGCAGCGCUGAUAGUGAUCCUAAUCAGACCUCCGAGAAAAACUUCUAAGUUAUGUUUAAAGCAGCCCGUACCGCAAACCGACACAGGUGGGUGGGAUGAAUAUUCUAAGGCGCUCGGGUGAGCCGUGGAGAAGGAACUAGGCAAAUUGAUGCUGUAACUUCGGGAUAAAGCAUACCCCCCUCAGCAAUGAGUGGGGGUCUCAGUAAAAUGGUUCAACCAACUGUUUAGCAAAAACACAGGGCCCUGCAAAAUCGAAAGAUGACGUAUAGAGCCUGAUACCUGCCCGGUGCUGGAAGGUUAAGGAAGGAUGUUCGUCUUUACGCAAGUAGAGACAAAGCUUCUGACUGAAGCCCCAGUAAACGGCGGCCGUAACUAUAACGGUCCUAAGGUAGCGAAAUUCCUUGUCGGGUAAGUUCCGACCUGCACGAAUGGUCUAAUGAGUUGAACACUGUCUCCUCCACGAGCCCGGUGAAAUUGUAGUUUUGAAUUUUUGAUGUGUAGGAUAGUUGGGAGACUUUGAAGUUGUGUCGCCAGGCAUGAUGGAGUCAACGUUGAAAUACCAACCUUUAAACAUUUAGAAUCUAAUCCCUUGCGGGAAACAGUGCAUGGUGGGUAGUUUGACUGGGGUGGUCGCCUCCUAAAAAGUAACGGAGGCUUGCAAAGGUUCCCUCAGUACGGUUGGUAAUCGUACAUAGAGCGUAUUAGUAUAAGGGAGCUUGACUGUGAGACUAACAAGUCGAGCAGGGACGAAAGUCGGCUAAAGUGAUCCGGCGGUUCUGUAUGGAAGGGCCGUCGCUCAAAGGAUAAAAGGUACUCUGGGGAUAACAGGCUGAUCUCCCCCAAGAGCUCAUAUCGACGGGGAGGUUUGGCACCUCGAUGUCGGUUCGUCACAUCCUGGGGCUGGAGAAGGUCCCAAGGGUUCGGCUGUUCGCCGAUUAAAGUGGCACGUGAACUGGGUUCAGAACGACAGCAAGGAUAAACGCUGAAAGCAUCUAAGCGUGAAACCUUCCUCAAGAUGAGUUUACUUUUAAGGGUCGUCAGAGACUAUGACGUUGAUAGGCUAUAGGUAUAAAGGUGGUAACAUCAAAGCCAAGUAGUACUAAUUGCCCGUAAGCUUUAUUUU